CGGCGAGUGAAGCGGCAACAGCUCAAAUUUGAAAUCUGGCUCUUUCAGGGUCCGAGUUGUAAUUUGCAGAGGGUGCUUUGGCGUUGGCUGUGGUCUAAGUUCCUUGGAACAGGACGUCACAGAGGGUGAGAAUCCCGUACGUGGCCGCCAGCUUUCGCCGUGUAAAGCCCCUUCGAUGAGUCGAGUUGUUUGGGAAUGCAGCUCUAAAUGGGAGGUAAAUUUCUUCUAAAGCUAAAUAUUUGCCAGAGACCGAUAGCGCACAAGUAGAGUGAUCGAAAGAUGAAAAGCACUUUGGAAAGAGAGUCAAAAAGCACGUGAAAUUGUUGAAAGGGAAGCGCUUGCAGCUAGACGUGCCUUGGGUUGAUCAGCCGGACUUUUGCCCGGUGCACUCUUCCUUUGGCAGGCCAGCAUCAGUUUGGGCGGCUGGAUAAAGGUCUGUUAAACGUGACUUCCUUCGGGGAGAGCUUAUAGGGCAGACGACAUGCAGCCAGCCUGAACUGAGGUCCGCGCAUCUGCUAGGAUGCUGGCGUAAUAGCUGUAAGCGGCCCGUCUUGAAACACGGACCAAGGAGUCUAACAUCUAUGCGAGUGUUUGGGUGUCAAGCCCGAGCGCGCAAUGAAAGUAAACGGAGGUGGGAACCCUCGGGUGCACCAUCGACCGAUCCUGAUGUCUUCGGAUGGAUUUGAGUAAGAGCAUAGCUGUUGGGACCCGAAAGAUGGUGAACUAUGCCUGAAUAGGGUGAAGCCAGAGGAAACUCUGGUGGAGGCUCGCAGCGGUUCUGACGUGCAAAUCGAUCGUCAAAUUUGGGCAUAGGGGCGAAAGACUAAUCGAAC
RNAcentral lists this ribosomal RNA (833 nucleotides) under Pseudolophiostoma mangiferae. Its description in RNAcentral is "partial large subunit ribosomal RNA". It matches the Rfam family "Eukaryotic large subunit ribosomal RNA", at positions 87 to 940 of the family's 3401-position model. Lineage: Eukaryota; Fungi; Ascomycota; Dothideomycetes; Pleosporales; Lophiostomataceae. The record is from RNAcentral.